This 466-nucleotide ribosomal RNA is filed under the name uncultured bacterium. RNAcentral's name for it is "partial 16S ribosomal RNA". It matches the Rfam family "Bacterial small subunit ribosomal RNA", at positions 28 to 507 of the family's 1533-position model. The record is from RNAcentral.
GACGAACGCUGGCGGCGCGCCUAACACAUGCAAGUCGAACGAGCGAGAGAGAGCUUGCUUUCUUGAGCGAGUGGCGAACGGGUGAGUAACGCGUGAGGAACCUGCCUCAAAGAGGGGGACAACAGUUGGAAACGACUGCUAAUACCGCAUAAGCCCACGGUGCCGCAUGGCACAGAGGGAAAAGGAGCAAUCCGCUUUGAGAUGGCCUCGCGUCCGAUUAGCUAGUUGGUGAGGUAACGGCCCACCAAGGCGACGAUCGGUAGCCGGACUGAGAGGUUGAACGGCCACAUUGGGACUGAGACACGGCCCAGACUCCUACGGGAAGCAGCAGUGGGGAAUAUUGCACAAUGGGGGAAACCCUGAUGCAGCGACGCCGCGUGGAGGAAGAAGGUCUUCGGAUUGUAAACUCCUGUUGUUGGGGAAGAUAAUGACGGUACCCAACAAGGAAGUGACGGCUAACUACGUG